UGGGGCUGUGGCGAAAUUGGUAGACGCACUGGAUUUAGGUUCCAGCGCCGCGAGGUGUAAGAGUUCGAGUCUCUUCAGCCCCACCAC
Molecule: transfer RNA, 87 nt
Filed under: Enhydrobacter aerosaccus SK60
Lineage: Bacteria; Pseudomonadati; Pseudomonadota; Alphaproteobacteria; Hyphomicrobiales
Description: tRNA-Leu
Rfam family: tRNA
About the family: Transfer RNA (tRNA) molecules are approximately 80 nucleotides in length. Their secondary structure includes four short double-helical elements and three loops (D, anti-codon, and T loops).
Source: RNAcentral